RNAcentral lists this ribosomal RNA (1039 nucleotides) under Neofusicoccum sinoeucalypti. RNAcentral's name for it is "SSU rRNA". It matches the Rfam family "Eukaryotic small subunit ribosomal RNA", at positions 64 to 1111 of the family's 1831-position model. Lineage: Eukaryota; Fungi; Ascomycota; Dothideomycetes; Botryosphaeriales; Botryosphaeriaceae. The record is from RNAcentral.
UAUAAGCAAUCUAUACUGUGAAACUGCGAAUGGCUCAUUAAAUCAGUUAUCGUUUAUUUGAUAGUACCUUACUACUUGGAUAACCGUGGUAAUUCUAGAGCUAAUACAUGCUAAAAACCCCGACUUCGGAAGGGGUGUAUUUAUUAGAUAAAAAACCAAUGCCCUUCGGGGCUCCUUGGUGAUUCAUGAUAACUUAACGAAUCGCAUGGCCUUGCGCCGGCGAUGGUUCAUUCAAAUUUCUGCCCUAUCAACUUUCGAUGGUAGGAUAGUGGCCUACCAUGGUAUCAACGGGUAACGGGGAAUUAGGGUUCUAUUCCGGAGAGGGAGCCUGAGAAACGGCUACCACAUCCAAGGAAGGCAGCAGGCGCGCAAAUUACCCAAUCCCGACACGGGGAGGUAGUGACAAUAAAUACUGAUACAGGGCUCUUUUGGGUCUUGUAAUUGGAAUGAGUACAAUUUAAAUACCUUAACGAGGAACAAUUGGAGGGCAAGUCUGGUGCCAGCAGCCGCGGUAAUUCCAGCUCCAAUAGCGUAUAUUAAAGUUGUUGCAGUUAAAAAGCUCGUAGUUGAACCUUGGGCCUGGCUGGCCGGUCCGCCUCACCGCGUGUACUGGUCCGGCCGGGCCUUUCCUUCUGGGGAUCCUCAUGCCCUUCACUGGGCGUGCUGGGGAACCAGGACUUUUACUUUGAAAAAAUUAGAGUGUUCAAAGCAGGCCUUUGCUCGAAUACAUUAGCAUGGAAUAAUAGAAUAGGACGUGCGGUCCUAUUUUGUUGGUUUCUAGGACCGCCGUAAUGAUUAAUAGGGAUAGUCGGGGGCAUCAGUAUUCAAUUGUCAGAGGUGAAAUUCUUGGAUUUAUUGAAGACUAACUACUGCGAAAGCAUUUGCCAAGGAUGUUUUCAUUAAUCAGUGAACGAAAGUUAGGGGAUCGAAGACGAUCAGAUACCGUCGUAGUCUUAACCGUAAACUAUGCCGACUAGGGAUCGGGCGAUGUUAUUCUUUUGACUCGCUCGGCACCUUACGAGAAAUCAAAGUCUUUGGG